Solanum pennellii is the source of this 3299-nucleotide RNA transcript. RefSeq lists it as uncharacterized. Lineage: Eukaryota; Viridiplantae; Streptophyta; Magnoliopsida; Solanales; Solanaceae. The record is from RefSeq and is a predicted model, not a curated record. The transcript has 3 exons.
UUGAGGGGGUACUUGUGCAUUUUCCCAAUAAUUUAAAACAUUUUUUUUAAAAAAAAAAGAAAAAAGAAAAAUAACGGAUCAGUUUUUAAAUGGAAAAUAUCAUGUUUCAUUAUUUAAAAUAAUUAAAUUUAAUAAAUAUAAUUACUAAUUAGCGUCUAUUAAGGAACUUUUUUUAAAAUCAGAUUAAUUGGUUACCUUAAAAAGCUCCAUUUAGUUGAAAUCAAAUUAAAUUGUGAUUUAAUUCCUUAAAACGAUCUAAUAAAACGAAAUCACAUUAAAUUGUUAUUUUUUCCAGAUAUCAUGUUUCUUUCUUGUUUGCAGAUUGCAUUUUCAUUUUUUUUAGUGAUUGAAGAUAUUUUGCUGUUGAAAAAACGUGAUUUGUUGUGAUGGACAACAUUGUAUCUAUAUUAAUUAAACAUGGUGAAAAGUGGAAUCCGUCAGGUUGGUAUUUCUUAUAGUUUGUUGGUUUGUUUUUGGUAAUUUUAUUCAAUAUACAGAUUAUUGCGUUUUUUUUUUUACAUCGUGUUUUGAUAUAUACCAUAUUUGCAACAGUACAGAGCAGUAUAGACGUCUUAGUUUUAUUAAAAUUGAAGACUCGAUUAAUACGUGUUUUAUGAAAAAAUAAAAUUAAUUUUACAGUGCGUUUAGUAACUAAUCAAGAACGAAUUAUUUAUAACGUUGUGGAUCAUUGUUGUAUGACAUUUGUAUUAAAUGCAUAUGAAUAGUUAUUAUUUUUUUGUUUGUAUGAAUUUUGUUUUGAUAGACAUUGUUUUGUAUUUUUUGGAUGAUGGAAUCAUGAUUUUUUUAUAUAUGAAUUAUGUUUUGAAUAGCAUUUUUUGUAUGUUACAUGAUGGAAAAAGUUUUAUUAAGCGUUUAUGAAGUCUAUGUAUUAUGUAUCCUGUUCGUAGUUAGUAUGCUUUGAAUAGUUAUUUCUGUUUGGUACGGGAUGGUAAAUGUUGUAUUAAGUUUGUAUGAAAUUUGUAUUAUUUUCGUAGUUAGUAUGUUCUGAAGAGCAAUUUCGAUAUGACAUGUGAUGAUGAAAGCUAUGCUAAUUGUGUAUGAAAUGGGUAUGAAAUUUGUAUUUUAUUGUAUGAAGUAUCUUUUCAAGGGUAAUUUCGUUAUGGUAUAGGUUGUUGAAAGGUAUAUUAAAUAUGUAUGAAGUGUGUAUAAAUUAUUUUACAAUUAAUAUGUAUUAUGGUAUAUUAAUUGUUAUUUUAAUGUUAUGAAACAAGGAAAUAUGUCGAUUUUCAGAUGGAGAGCAUCAUAUAUGAUGUCUUUACUCCGUAUAGUGGUCUAGUUAGUGCAAUAACAUUGCAACUUAAUAUAAAUGUUAAUAUAAGCGCUAUUGAGAUAAAAUAUAUUGUUAGUGAUAUGUGUCCACCUGUUAGCAUUCACAAUGAUGUUGGGAUGAGGAUUUUUCUAGUCAAAAGAAAGCAAAUUUAGAUUUCUUUACAAAAUAUCCAUUGUGCAUCUCUUUGAAAGAUUUUGAGAUGUAUAAUCAAGAUUCUGGAGUUGUUACUAAUAGGAGACAUUCUGAAGUUAGCUUAACACAAACUAACGUUGAUUUAUACUCUAACAAUUCCAUCCGUUUGAUCGGAGUGAAUUUAGACGGAGAUGUCGAUGAGAAUAAUGAAGAAGAUAAUGAUGUAAUAAGUGACCAUUCUAACCUAUUUGUAGCUAAUAAUCAGACUUACAAGAAUAAGGAAAUACUUAAGGAGGUGAUGAGGCAUGUUGGACUUUAAAAAAUUCAAUUUUCGUAUAUCGCGUUGUAAUGCAUCUAAAUAAGUACACAUCAUUCUUUUAAUUUGUGUUUUUUAUUUGAUUGAUUUUGGUUUAUAAAAUUCAAAUGUAUUUUUUUUUAAUUUGUGAAACAAUUAUUACCUGAAUUGUCUUUCUGAUACUUGUUCUUGGAUGAUGAGAUCAUCAUGUUUGAAUAGAUCAAAUUUAGUCAAAGUCAGAAAGUACAAUGUUGAACACACUUGUUCAGUUAAAGAUAGAGUUUAUGCAAGACGUCAGGAAAUAACUGUCGUUGUAGCUGUCUUAAUAAUGGAUAAGUAUAUUGAUUCAUCUACCGUAUACACUCCAAAGAAUAUAGUGGAGGAUAUGUUGAAAUUGCAUGGUGUUUUGCUAACAUACAUACAGGCGUGGAGAGCUAAAGAAAAAGCGAUGAAAUUUAUGCGUGGAGAUCCAACCGAAUCAUAUGCCAAACUACCAGGUCAUAUACUUAUGUUGGCGUAUGCGAUAGUGGAUUCUGAAAUGACGCUUUAUCGACUUGGUUCUUUGAAUAGUUUAAAAAAGCCUAUGGAGUUAAGCAAAACAUGUGUUUUAUGUCAGAUCGAAAUGAGAGAAUAUGAAAAGAGACUGUUACUGUAUAUCUCGAAUUCGAACAUUAUGCCUGCAUAUGGCACCUAACCUGUAAUGUGUUGAAGAAUUUCAAUAGGAAUACUGAAGAUUUGAAGAUUUUAUUUUUUACACUUGCAAAGGCUUAUACAAAACAACAAUUUGAGAUGAUUAUGAGAAGAAUAAACCAGAUAGAUCCGCAAAUAAGACAUUACUUAUUUGAUAUCGGUUAUAGCAAAUGGUCAAGAGCUUAUUCGGAUUGUAAGCGCGCAUGGACCAUGACUUCAAACAUUGCCGAGUUAUUGAAUAAUUAAUAGGAUAGCAAGGAGAUUACUAGUGAUUUCACUUAUUGAAUUUAUGAGGAUAACAAUUCAAAGAUGGAUUCACAAGCACAAUGAGGAGGCUGAUAAAACAAUAUCUGUGCUGACAAAAAAAUAUGAUCUUUAUCUCCAGAAAAGUAUUGCUUUGUCUUGCAAUAUGAAGGUGAUACCUUGUACAGUUGAUAUGCAUACUGUAGCUGAAGGAGCAAAGAAGUACAUAGUAAACUUGAACACAAAGAUGUGUAGUUACGGGAGAUUUCAACAUUAUUAUAUACCAUGUGGUCAUGUAAUUGCAGUUCUUAGAUACAGAAAAUUGCAUGAAGCAUAUUUCUGUUCUGCUUUUUAUAGCCUGAAGAAUUUCAAAGAUGCAUAUGUCAUUGUUGUUGAACCUAUCCCAUGCGAGUGUACAUGGGAUAUCCAAAGUUAUAUUUCAGAGCCUAAAUUGAUGUCACCUAGUCCAAAUAGAUUAGCGGGAAGACCAAAACUUAAACGCUCGAAGGGGUUUGCUGAUGUAAAAUUCAAAAGGUUAAAACUUACUUGUAGUAGAUGUCGUCAAGUUGGACACAACAGUAAGACUGUUCAAAUUAUUCUUUGUAAAAAACAAUUUACUAUUUUUACUUAUUGUUACACAUAUUUUUA